RNAcentral lists this transfer RNA (71 nucleotides) under Volvox carteri f. nagariensis. RNAcentral describes it as "tRNA-Gln (CTG) (tRNA-Gln-CTG-6-1)". It matches the Rfam family "tRNA". From Rfam's summary of the family: Transfer RNA (tRNA) molecules are approximately 80 nucleotides in length. Their secondary structure includes four short double-helical elements and three loops (D, anti-codon, and T loops). Lineage: Eukaryota; Viridiplantae; Chlorophyta; Chlorophyceae; Chlamydomonadales; Volvocaceae. The record is from Rfam by way of RNAcentral.
GCUCGCGUGGUGUAGUGGUUAGCACUGUGGACUCUGAAUCACCGACCUGAGUUCAAAUCUCAGCGCGAGCU